Molecule: long non-coding RNA, 283 nt
Organism: Limulus polyphemus (Atlantic horseshoe crab)
Lineage: Eukaryota; Metazoa; Arthropoda; Merostomata; Xiphosura; Limulidae
Exons: 2
Source: RefSeq, a predicted model, not a curated record
AAUUGUGAUAUAGCAUCAGAGAAAAUUGAGGCUCUACCUUGAUUCUAUCAUCCAUGAUGCUGCCACCUAAGCUAGCUCAUAAACCCAGGAGAAAACACUCAACCCUACUAAGAAAUAAUGAACGGAUCAUAUUCCGUAUGUGUUAACAUACCAUCAGACCAACAAGAAGAUCAAAGAUAAUAUACUAAACAAUUACACAAUACUUAAUGAAGACCCUACCACUAAAUCUCUUUUCAAGGACACACCCAUUAUUUCUUAAAGGUAUGAAAAAAACUUGAAAAAA